Molecule: RNA transcript, 4646 nt
Organism: Dermochelys coriacea (leatherback sea turtle)
Lineage: Eukaryota; Metazoa; Chordata; Testudines; Dermochelyidae
Gene: CARMIL2
Gene name: capping protein regulator and myosin 1 linker 2
Exons: 40
Source: RefSeq, a predicted model, not a curated record
CUGAGCAGGGCCAGUUUCAUUCUGACUGCAGGCUGGGCUGAAAGAUGCUGCUCUAGUAGCCCAUGCAGCUACCUUGGCCAGUCUCCCAGGAACCCCAGAGAUGGCUGUCUCCCCAGUAGGGAUCCCAUGCCACCUGCAAGACAGCAUCACCGCCUUGCUUGGGCCGAAGGAAAUAAUCCUGGUGAAGCCUGUCCAGCUGCAGGUCAAAUCCAAGUAUGAAGACGACAUCUUGGUUUUAACCCCCUGGAGGGCAUAUGUGCUGCAGGUGAUUCUCCCAGUCAGGGUGUGGAGCAGCUUCAGCUUCCUGGAGGUGAGAGAGAUCGCGAUCCAGGAGCCCAGCCUGGUUGUCAUAGAUACAGAUACAGCCUCUUAUGCCUUCCGGCUCAUGUCGCUGGACGAUUUGGAGCAGGUGGUCAGCCAUGUCACCAUGUCGCUUAAGAAGGUCUUUCCAGACUCUUCCCCUGGAAAACUGCUCAAAAACUAUCCCUCCAGUUUGUUCGAGAGAAUUCGAAGGAUAACAAACUCCCUGGAGGAAAUGCUGCAGAAUAAUCAAGGACCGUGUGGUGGGUUUUCGGAGACGUAUGCUGCUUUAUGUGACUACAACGGCUUUACCUUCAGAGAGGAGAUCCAGUGGGAUGUGGACAAUAUCUACCACAGCCAAGACUGCCGAGAGUUCAACCUGUUGGACUUCGCUCACCUAGAGAGCAGAGACGUAGCCCUUAGCAUCACAGCGCUGUCGUUUAACCUGUGGUUCACGAAGCUGUACUGUAAGGACUUCAGGCUGAAUCUGGAGAUUUCCGAACAGCUUCUGUACAUGAUCAGCAAAUCGGUGAAACUGGAGGAGCUGGUGCUGGAAAACAGUGGGUUAAAAUUUGAAUUUGCCCAGAGGAUGGCCCAGGCGUUAAGAGGAAACCCGGACUCAGCUCUAAGCGCCAUCAGCCUGGCUGGCAACCAGCUGGAGGACAGAGGGAUAACUGCAUUCAGCCAGUACAUUGAGAAACGCACCAAGGGCCUGCGCAGCCUGAACUUCUCUAGGACUUCACUGACUGCCAAAGGAGCGAGCACUUUAUGCCAGUCCCUUGCAUCUAAUGGAAUCUUCAGCGCCUCACUUCAGCACCUGGAUCUCUCGGGGAAUCCUGGCAUCCUUACCACGGACGAUGCCAGCAGCUUACACAGCUUCCUCAGCCGCACGAACUCAGUAUCUUACCUCAACCUGGCCGGCACAGACUGUGCUUUGGAUGCACUGUUUGGUGCAUUGGCCCUCGGAUGCUGUGCCAACCUCGCCCACCUGGAUCUCUCCAAAAACGUGUACUCACACAAAAGGCUGAGAGAUGUCCCUCCAGCCAUCAAACUGUUCUUCAGCAAGGCGGCUGCCCUCCGAUACGUCGGCCUGGCAAGUACCAAGCUGCCGCCAGAGGCCGUAAGGGCCUUGCUGCAGGGGUUGGCGUAUAACUCUCAGAUCAGUGACCUGCACCUGGACCUCAGUAGCUGCGAGUUGAGAUCAGCAGGUGCCCAGGUGAUCCAAGAUCUGAUUUUUGAUGCCAAUUCAAUUAGGAAUUUGGAUUUAUCAGACAACGGCUUUGAUGCUGACAUGGUCACAUUGGUGCUAGCGAUUGGCCGAAGCAAAUCCAUUAGGCAUGUCUCCUUAGGAAAGAAUUUUAACAUUAAAUCCAAGGACAAUCUGGCCGACAUUCUCCACCGGAUUGUUCAGCUCACACAGGAAGACGACUGUCCUCUUCAAUCCCUGUCCGUGGCCGAAUCGCGACUGAAAUUGGGAACCAAUGUCCUGCUGAAUGCGCUGGGCAGUAACACCAGCCUCAGCACGCUAGACAUCAGUGGGAACACCAUUGGUGACACUGGAGCCAAGAUGCUGGCCAAAGCCUUGCAGAUCAACACACAACUCAGGACAGUAAUUUGGGACAGAAACAACACCACGGCCCAUGGAUUCCUAGAUGUUGCCCGUGCUUUGGAAAGGAAUUUCACCCUGCGGUCCAUGCCUUUGCCAAUGAGCGACAUGACUCAGGCUUAUCGGAGCAAUCCGGAGAAGACGGAGGAGGCGGUCCACAAGAUGCAGUCUUUCCUGGCGAGGAAUCAGAGGCGGCGGACCCUGCCUAAGCAAACCUUCCGGCUGCAGCAGGGAAUUGUCACCAGCUCCUCGGAACAGAUGGUGAAUGAGAUGUGCACCAGCCUACAGAAGCAUGUUGACAUCCUGAGUGCCUAUCUGGGCCGAGAGGUGGAAGCCAGUGUCCUCUGUGCAGAAGAAGCAAUUCGGGACGCAAACCUGUCCAUCAGUCUUUUGCCACUCCUGUAUGAGACCGGGAACACCCCGUACCAGAACUGCCAACUGCAGCACAAGCUGGAAUGUCUGACUGAAGCAGCCUUGCAGGCCUGCGGCCGGGAGAUCCAGGCUAUUAUGCAGGCUGUGCUGGAUACCACCCAGAAUCUGUGUCCUACAAUUCUGCAGAAGAGUGGCCUUCGGGACCGGCUGGUCCACACGAUCUAUGAGCGAAUCACCCUUCAGGAUCAACUCAGCCUGAGCCGUGUCCUGGACCAGCUGGUCACUGAUGUAUUCAGCAAGCUAACCGAAAUCAGGCUGUCUGUUAUUGCGGCUGUGACCGACGGGCUGAUCCAUGAGGUGCUGGAGGACCUGACAAGUGCUCAGUGCAGACUGGCAGCAGAACUCCCCAAGCAACCUCCAGAUCUUCAUGUGCUACAGACAGACAAUAUUGAGGAAGAUGAUUUUUUGCUAAAGAAGAGCAGGAAUCUGCUGGAUGUUGCUGAGCAAAGCUUUGCAGCUGAGGAGUAUAAGAUGGCUCUGAGGAGGAAGAACAAGCACUUCAGGAGCGUCCGGCCCAUGCCUGCCAUGAGAAGUCUGUCGGAGCUCGAUCUUCAGGCAGAGGCAGAAGAUAACAAGAUUGGAACUCACCAGGCUCUGCUGUCAGUCAGCUGUGCCUCUCUGAAGUCACGCCCUGCCUCCACAAAGGAUGCUGAGACUGGAAGCAGUUUGCUUCCUUUCCCAGAGCCUGCACCCACACAAUUCCUUAUGGACCUGCCAACUGAGGGAGAGAAACUGGAGCACUACACCCGAGCUAGGCCCCGACCCAACCGCAGGAACAAGCAGCCUCCAAGCAAGCCAAAUGUCCAGCCAGCCCCGUCUGAGAAUGACGAGGACAGAAGUAUUACGUGUGUGGAUGAAGGGCUAGAGGAGUUCUUUACCAAGAAGCUGAUCCAAGAGGAACCACUCCCAGCCCCCCGGGGGAUCUCUCCUGGCUCAGCCCCCCUCGUGCCGUCUGGCACCCAGACCUUCAAAAAAAAAAUAGGAAACUUCUUUGCAUUCAAGAAGCCGAAGUCCAGCAGGGGCUGGAAGUGCGAGAAGGAGCUGGAGGGCAGCCCCUUGGCAGCCAAGGGCAGGAAGUCCACUCGCAGUGACAUUUCAAAGCCUCCCAGUAAGGCAGGGGAGCCUGGGAAGGCACUGAGCAAAUCCGAAGAGGGUGGGCUUACCGUGGAGCCCAGGGCCAAUGCAGAGCCCAGCCAGACCCCCGAUGCCGGCCACAGGAUCAGGCCCAAGUACUCCCGAGAGGGCAAGUCACAGUCCCUCAUACUCCUGUCUGGUGAGGAUGAAGAGGUCCUAUCAGCGAAACACGAAAAGAGGCAACCCUUUGAGAAGAGUGACGGAGAGAUCCCCAACUCCUUUGAGCAGCGCGUCCAUGUUAUGCUGCACCGGAUCGGGGUCACCAAAGUCCUGUCCUCCGAGGGGAAGAAGAAGCAGAGUAAAGAAGGAGAGAUCAAAAAAGCUGGUUCAGAUGGAGACAUCAUGGACAGCUCGGCAGACUCCCCUCCCCUUGCCUUGAAAUCUCGCGCACACUCCAUGUCCACAGACCCGUCUGCGCGAAGUGGCCCUGCUGACGCAGCGGGCCGAGCGGCGGUUGAGUCCAGCCGCGGGCCCAGCGAUGUGCGGCUCUCCUGGAAGGCCCUGGGGAAGCAGCUGAAUGCCGAGCUCAAGGGCAAGUGUUCUGAACUCCAUUCUUCCCCCAGGCGCUCCUUUGUCGUUCAAGAGCAGAGCAGCCCCACGGAGCAGCAGGUCCGAGAGAGCUGGAGCAGCAGCUUGCCCAGGACUGGGAGGAGCACGCCUGCCCCUGCACCAAGGAGAAUUAGCAACGCAGGCGCUAGCAGGGACAGCGUAGAUGCAAUCGCUGCAGUGUCUCCUCUUCUUUUCAGACAAUCACCUGAAACCCAAGCCUCGGCUGAAAAAUGUGGCCACCAGGCGCGCUGUUUCCGUUCACGAAGAACAGCUCAGGGAGCAGGGCUGCAUGGCUACUCUGGAGAGUGUAAAAAUCCCCCUGCGCCUGAAGCGCUCGCCAGUCCUGAAACGGAAGCCUAACCCCAACUCCACGGUGGAUGUGGCAGGGAGCAGCACACCCAGCCCCCCGGCAGCACUGAAGGACACUCUGCCACAAGACGAGCACAGGGCCACAGCCGAACUGCAGGGGGAGCGGCCGCAAGCUGUGGAACAACCGGUUGAAAAUGCACAGAACAGCCAUACACCAAAGAGCGGCUCCAGAUCUGCCAGCAGCCCCCCAGGGACAAUGAGUUAGUGGGGGCUGCCGCCUGCUGUCAUUUCCAAUAAAACACUGCGACCGAGUGCA